RNAcentral lists this long non-coding RNA (462 nucleotides) under Phoenix dactylifera (date palm). Its description in RNAcentral is "long non-coding RNA (PDAC_LNC022828)". The record is from RNAcentral. Lineage: Eukaryota; Viridiplantae; Streptophyta; Magnoliopsida; Arecales; Arecaceae.
GUCCACGGACUCGCCGACCUGACUCAAGAUCCCUCGACCAAGGGUUGAGGCGCCCGAGGUCCUACCAUGGGGUCUGAAACUCCCUCGACCUCGCAGAAAGCUACAAUUCAAUGAAGCCUCGCCAAAUCCUCUCAACCUCGGUGGGCGCUGUUGGGUCCGUGAGAAACCCGAGCCCCCCCUUUAAGUCAAAAUGACUCCGGAGGUCGACGAGGAAAGGAGGCAACCUACUCCACCAUGCGAAGCAUAACUCCGAGAAUGCAAGAGGUACGUCUAACUAGAUGCCCUCCUUGUCAAAUUUUAUCUACAUACUGCUGAGUGGAAUCUCAACGUUGGAGUCUUAUCACGCCCCAAAGCCGGGCUUCUCCAAUAGGUCGGCUUAAGACCGACCCCCUAACUACGCUAUGUAUGCUCCAUUCGUCAAGUCUCCGCAAUUUGUGCAAAGGCUUCAUAAAUUAGGGCCCA